Molecule: ribosomal RNA, 813 nt
Filed under: Campylobacter jejuni
Lineage: Bacteria; Pseudomonadati; Campylobacterota; Epsilonproteobacteria; Campylobacterales; Campylobacteraceae
Description: bacterial SSU rRNA
Rfam family: Bacterial small subunit ribosomal RNA
Source: RNAcentral
GGCGAUCUGCUGGAACUCAACUGACGCUAAGGCGCGAAAGCGUGGGGAGCAAACAGGAUUAGAUACCCUGGUAGUCCACGCCCUAAACGAUGUACACUAGUUGUUGGGAUGCUAGUCAUCUCAGUAAUGCAGCUAACGCAUUAAGUGUACCGCCUGGGGAGUACGGUCGCAAGAUUAAAACUCAAAGGAAUAGACGGGGACCCGCACAAGCGGUGGAGCAUGUGGUUUAAUUCGAAGAUACGCGAAGAACCUUACCUGGGCUUGAUAUCCUAAGAACCUUAUAGAGAUAUGAGGGUGCUAGCUUGCUAGAACUUAGAGACAGGUGCUGCACGGCUGUCGUCAGCUCGUGUCGUGAGAUGUUGGGUUAAGUCCCGCAACGAGCGCAACCCACGUAUUUAGUUGCUAACGGUUCGGCCGAGCACUCUAAAUAGACUGCCUUCGUAAGGAGGAGGAAGGUGUGGACGACGUCAAGUCAUCAUGGCCCUUAUGCCCAGGGCGACACACGUGCUACAAUGGCAUAUACAAUGAGACGCAAUACCGCGAGGUGGAGCAAAUCUAUAAAAUAUGUCCCAGUUCGGAUUGUUCUCUGCAACUCGAGAGCAUGAAGCCGGAAUCGCUAGUAAUCGUAGAUCAGCCAUGCUACGGUGAAUACGUUCCCGGGUCUUGUACUCACCGCCCGUCACACCAUGGGAGUUGAUUUCACUCGAAGCCGGAAUACUAAACUAGUUACCGUCCACAGUGGAAUCAGCGACUGGGGUGAAGUCGUAACAAGGUAACCGUAGGAGAACCUGCGGUUGGAUCACCUCCUUUCUA